Molecule: non-coding RNA, 71 nt
Organism: Myotis lucifugus (little brown bat)
Lineage: Eukaryota; Metazoa; Chordata; Mammalia; Chiroptera; Vespertilionidae
Source: Rfam
GCCAGAAUGGCUCAGUGGUUGAGCAUGGACAUAUGAACCAGGAGGUCCAGGUUCAAUUCCUGGUCAGGGCA